AUUGAACGCUGGCGGCAUGCCUUACACAUGCAAGUCGAACGGCAGCACGGGGCAACCUGGUGGCGAGUGGCGAACGGGUGAGUAAUGCAUCGGAACGUGCCAUUGAGUGGGGGAUAACGUAGCGAAAGUUGCGCUAAUACCGCAUAUUCUGUGAGCAGGAAAGCAGGGGACCGCAAGGCCUUGCGCUCUUUGAGCGGCCGAUGUCAGAUUAGCUAGUUGGUGAGGUAACGGCUUACCAAGGCGACGAUCUGUAGCGGGUCUGAGAGGAUGAUCCGCCACACUGGAACUGAGACACGGUCCAGACUCCUACGGGAGGCAGCAGUGGGGAAUUUUGGACAAUGGGGGCAACCCUGAUCCAGCCAUGCCGCGUGAACGAUGAAGGCCUUAGGGUUGUAAAGUUCUUUUACCCGUGACGAUGAUGACGGUAACGGGGGAAUAAGCUCCGGCUAACUUCGUGCCAGCAGCCGCGGUAAGGCGUA
Molecule: ribosomal RNA, 479 nt
Filed under: uncultured bacterium
Lineage: Bacteria
Description: bacterial SSU rRNA
Rfam family: Bacterial small subunit ribosomal RNA
Source: RNAcentral